ACGCUCGACACCUAUGAGGCAGCAGUGGGGAAUAUUGCACAAUGGGGGAAACCCUGAUGCAGCGACGCCGCGUGAGUGAAGAAGUAUUUCGGUAUGUAAAGCUCUAUCAGCAGGGAAGAAGAUGACGGUACCUGAGUAAGAAGCCCCGGCUAACUACGUGCCAGCAGCCGCGGUAAUCUGAGCGGGCUGGCAAGGC
RNAcentral lists this ribosomal RNA (196 nucleotides) under uncultured bacterium. Its description in RNAcentral is "partial 16S ribosomal RNA". It matches the Rfam family "Bacterial small subunit ribosomal RNA", at positions 326 to 539 of the family's 1533-position model. The record is from RNAcentral.